GACGAACGUUGGCGGCGUGCUUAACACAUGCAAGUCGAACGGAAAGGCCCUGCUUUUGUGGGGUGCUCGAGUGGCGAACGGGUGAGUAACACGUGAGUAACCUGCCCUUGACUUUGGGAUAUCUUCAGGAAACUGGGGCUAAUACCGGAUAGGAGCUCCUGCUGCAUGGUGGGGGUUGGAAAGUUUCGGCGGUUGGGGAUGGACUCGCGGCUUAUCAGCUUGUUGGUGGGGUAGUGGCUUACCAAGGCUUUGACGGGUAGCCGGCCUGAGAGGGUGACCGGCCACAUUGGGACUGAGAUACGGCCCAGACUCCUACGGGAGGCAGCAGUGGGGAAUAUUGCACAAUGGGCGGAAGCCUGAUGCAGCAACGCCGCGUGCGGGAUGACGGCCUUCGGGUUGUAAACCGCUUUCGCCUGUGACGAAGCGUGAGUGACGGUAAUGGGUAAAGAAGCACCGGCUAACUACGUGCCAGCAGCCGCGGUGAUACGUAGGGUGCGAGCGUUGUCCGGAUUUAUUGGGCGUAAAGGGCUCGUAGGUGGUUGAUCGCGUCGGAAGUGUAAUCUUGGGGCUUAACCCUGAGCGUGCUUUCGAUACGGGUUGACUUGAGGAAGGUAGGGGAGAAUGGAAUUCCUGGUGGAGCGGUGGAAUGCGCAGAUAUCAGGAGGAACACCAGUGGCGAAGGCGGUUCUCUGGGCCUCUCCUGACGCUGAGGAGCGAAAGCGUGGGGAGCGAACAGGCUUAGAUACCCUGGUAGUCCACGCUGUAAACGGUGGUACUAGGUGUGGGGUCCAUUCCACGGGUUCCGUGCCGUAGCUAACGCUUUAAGUACCCCGCCUGGGGAGUACGGCCGCAAGGCUAAAACUCAAAGGAAUUGACGGGGCCCCGCACAAGCGGCGGAGCAUGCGGAUUAAUUCGAUGCAACGCGUAGAACCUUACCUGGGUUUGACAUGGAUCGGGAGUGCUCAGAGAUGGGUGUGCCUCUUUUGGGGUCGGUUCACAGGUGGUGCAUGGCUGUCGUCAGCUCGUGUCGUGAGAUGUUGGGUUAAGUCCCGCAACGAGCGCAACCCUUGUUCACUGUUGCCAGCACGUUAUGGUGGGGACUCAGUGGAGACCGCCGGGGUCAACUCGGAGGAAGGUGGGGAUGACGUCAAGUCAUCAUGCCCCUUAUGUCCAGGGCUUCACGCAUGCUACAAUGGCUGGUACAGAGAGUGGCGAGCCUGUGAGGGUGAGCGAAUCUCGGAAAACCGGUCUCAGUUCGGAUUGGGGUCUGCAACUCGACCUCAUGAAGUCGGAGUCGCUAGUAAUCGCAGAUCAGCAACGCUGCGGUGAAUACGUUCCCGGG
This 1342-nucleotide ribosomal RNA is filed under the name uncultured bacterium. RNAcentral's name for it is "16S ribosomal RNA". It matches the Rfam family "Bacterial small subunit ribosomal RNA", at positions 28 to 1378 of the family's 1533-position model. The record is from RNAcentral.